ACAAAACCGAUGAGGAAGAAGAGUAAAUGAUCCGGCAACAUUCCAGAGAGCAGGUACUGGUGGAAGCCUGUAUGAAGCGGAUGAUCGAAUGGCCUUCCGAGGGCAGUCCGAAAUUUGAAUCCAGAGAGUAGGCACUGACGGGAACCGAACCCGUUAUCAAUCAGGAGUGUAUGUUUGUACAUGAGAAAGUGGACGAUACGUCAAUUUGAGUGGUACCGCGAUAAUAAGAAAUUAUUACCGUCUCAAGC
Blautia sp. CAG:237 is the source of this 248-nucleotide non-coding RNA. NCBI's taxonomy places the organism in Bacteria, Bacillati, Bacillota, Clostridia, Lachnospirales, Lachnospiraceae. The record is from Rfam.